This 69-nucleotide transfer RNA is filed under the name Sylvirana guentheri. Its description in RNAcentral is "tRNA-Val". Lineage: Eukaryota; Metazoa; Chordata; Amphibia; Anura; Ranidae. The record is from RNAcentral.
CAAAAUGGAGCUUAACAAAAGCCCCCCGCUUACACCGAGGUAAUGUCUGUCCACCCGGACCAUUUUGAG